UCUGUUUUUUCUAGUUAUAAAUAUUAAACUUAUUUUCGAAUUUUUUUUUAAAGGGAUUAAGUAAAUUUUUUUAGAUUGAAUAAUAAUUUUUUUUUAUAACAUUAUAUUUAAAACAUCAAAAUUAUAUUAUGGACCAGGAUUAGAUACCCUGUUACUUAUAAAUAAUAAAUUUUGGAAUAGUAAUAAUAAUGAAAUUUAACGGAUUUGGCGGCAAGAUAACCAUUUAGAGGAACCUGCCCUGUAAACGAUGGUCCACGAAUAACUUUACUUUUAUUUGUAUUCAGUUUGUAUACCGCUGUUGUCAGUCAGUUUUUGUAGAAAUCUUUCUUUCAUGAUAAAAUCAUAGACUUCAAGUAAAGGUGCAGCUUAUAUAAAAGUUAGAGGUGGGUUACAUUUAUAAGAUUAAAACGAAUUAAAUUUAUGAAAUAAUUUAUGAAGGUGGAUUUAAUUGUAAAGUUUAUUUAAACUUGAUGUGAGCUCUAUCUAUGUACACACCGCUUUUCAU
This 505-nucleotide ribosomal RNA is filed under the name Pyrgoma japonica. Its description in RNAcentral is "partial small subunit ribosomal RNA". The record is from RNAcentral. Lineage: Eukaryota; Metazoa; Arthropoda; Thecostraca; Balanomorpha; Pyrgomatidae.